Molecule: ribosomal RNA, 305 nt
Filed under: uncultured bacterium
Lineage: Bacteria
Description: bacterial SSU rRNA
Rfam family: Bacterial small subunit ribosomal RNA
Source: RNAcentral
UCUGCCCUACGGGACGUAGCAGUGGGGAAUAUUGGGCAAUGGGCGCAAGCCUGACCCAGCAACGCCGCGUGAAGGAAGAAGGCUUUCGGGUUGUAAACUUCUUUUGACAGGGAAGAGCAGAAGACGGUACCUGUCGAAUAAGCCACGGCUAACUACGUGCCAGCAGCCGCGGUAAUACGUAGGUGGCAAGUGUUGUCCGGAUUUACUGGGUGUAAAGGGCGUGUAGCCGGGCUGACAAGUCAGAUGUGAAAUCCGGGGGCUCAACCCCCGAACUGCAUUUGAAACUGUUGGUCUUGAGUAUCGGG